Molecule: ribosomal RNA, 2927 nt
Filed under: Salmonella enterica
Lineage: Bacteria; Pseudomonadati; Pseudomonadota; Gammaproteobacteria; Enterobacterales; Enterobacteriaceae
Also listed under: 1 other name
Description: bacterial LSU rRNA
Rfam family: Bacterial large subunit ribosomal RNA
Source: RNAcentral
GGGUUGUGAGGUUAAGCGACUAAGCGUACACGGUGGAUGCCCUGGCAGUCAGAGGCGAUGAAGGACGUGCUAAUCUGCGAUAAGCGCCGGUAAGGUGAUAUGAACCGUUAUAACCGGCGAUUUCCGAAUGGGGAAACCCAGUGUGAUUCGUCACACUAUCAUUAACUGAAUCCAUAGGUUAAUGAGGCGAACCGGGGGAACUGAAACAUCUAAGUACCCCGAGGAAAAGAAAUCAACCGAGAUUCCCCCAGUAGCGGCGAGCGAACGGGGAGGAGCCCAGAGCCUGAAUCAGCAUGUGUGUUAGUGGAAGCGUCUGGAAAGGCGCGCGAUACAGGGUGACAGCCCCGUACACAAAAGCGCAUGUGCUGUGAGCUCGAUGAGUAGGGCGGGACACGUGGUAUCCUGUCUGAAUAUGGGGGGACCAUCCUCCAAGGCUAAAUACUCCUGACUGACCGAUAGUGAACCAGUACCGUGAGGGAAAGGCGAAAAGAACCCCGGCGAGGGGAGUGAAAAAGAACCUGAAACCGUGUACGUACAAGCAGUGGGAGCACAGGUUUACCUGUGUGACUGCGUACCUUUUGUAUAAUGGGUCAGCGACUUAUAUUCUGUAGCAAGGUUAACCGAAUAGGGGAGCCGGAGGGAAACCGAGUCUUAAUUGGGCGUUAAGUUGCAGGGUAUAGACCCGAAACCCGGUGAUCUAGCCAUGGGCAGGUUGAAGGUUGGGUAACACUAACUGGAGGACCGAACCGACUAAUGUUGAAAAAUUAGCGGAUGACCUGUGGCUGGGGGUGAAAGGCCAAUCAAACCGGGAGAUAGCUGGUUCUCCCCGAAAGCUAUUUAGGUAGCGCCUCGUGAAUUCAUCUCCGGGGGUAGAGCACUGUUUCGGCUAGGGGGCCAUCCCGGCUUACCAACCCGAUGCAAACUGCGAAUACCGGAGAAUGUUAUCACGGGAGACACACGGCGGGUGCUAACGUCCGUCGUGAAGAGGGAAACAACCCAGACCGCCAGCUAAGGUCCCAAAGUCAUGGUUAAGUGGGAAACGAUGUGGGAAGGCCCAGACAGCCAGGAUGUUGGCUUAGAAGCAGCCAUCAUUUAAAGAAAGCGUAAUAGCUCACUGGUCGAGUCGGCCUGCGCGGAAGAUGUAACGGGGCUAAACCAUGCACCGAAGCUGCGGCAGCGACGCUUAUGCGUUGUUGGGUAGGGGAGCGUUCUGUAAGCCUGUGAAGGUGGCCUGUGAGGGUUGCUGGAGGUAUCAGAAGUGCGAAUGCUGACAUAAGUAACGAUAAAGCGGGUGAAAAGCCCGCUCGCCGGAAGACCAAGGGUUCCUGUCCAACGUUAAUCGGGGCAGGGUGAGUCGACCCCUAAGGCGAGGCCGAAAGGCGUAGUCGAUGGGAAACGGGUUAAUAUUCCCGUACUUGGUGUUACUGCGAAGGGGGGACGGAGAAGGCUAUGUUGGCCGGGCGACGGUUGUCCCGGUUUAAGCGUGUAGGCUGGUUUUCCAGGCAAAUCCGGAAAAUCAAGGCUGAGGCGUGAUGACGAGGCACUACGGUGCUGAAGCAACAAAUGCCCUGCUUCCAGGAAAAGCCUCUAAGCAUCAGGUAACAUCAAAUCGUACCCCAAACCGACACAGGUGGUCAGGUAGAGAAUACCAAGGCGCUUGAGAGAACUCGGGUGAAGGAACUAGGCAAAAUGGUGCCGUAACUUCGGGAGAAGGCACGCUGACACGUAGGUGAAGUGAUUUACUCACGGAGCUGAAGUCAGUCGAAGAUACCAGCUGGCUGCAACUGUUUAUUAAAAACACAGCACUGUGCAAACACGAAAGUGGACGUAUACGGUGUGACGCCUGCCCGGUGCCGGAAGGUUAAUUGAUGGGGUCAGCGCAAGCGAAGCUCCUGAUCGAAGCCCCGGUAAACGGCGGCCGUAACUAUAACGGUCCUAAGGUAGCGAAAUUCCUUGUCGGGUAAGUUCCGACCUGCACGAAUGGCGUAAUGAUGGCCAGGCUGUCUCCACCCGAGACUCAGUGAAAUUGAACUCGCUGUGAAGAUGCAGUGUACCCGCGGCAAGACGGAAAGACCCCGUGAACCUUUACUAUAGCUUGACACUGAACAUUGAGCCUUGAUGUGUAGGAUAGGUGGGAGGCUUUGAAGUGUGGACGCCAGUCUGCAUGGAGCCGACCUUGAAAUACCACCCUUUAAUGUUUGAUGUUCUAACGUGGACCCGUAAUCCGGGUUGCGGACAGUGUCUGGUGGGUAGUUUGACUGGGGCGGUCUCCUCCUAAAGAGUAACGGAGGAGCACGAAGGUUGGCUAAUCCUGGUCGGACAUCAGGAGGUUAGUGCAAUGGCAUAAGCCAGCUUGACUGCGAGCGUGACGGCGCGAGCAGGUGCGAAAGCAGGUCAUAGUGAUCCGGUGGUUCUGAAUGGAAGGGCCAUCGCUCAACGGAUAAAAGGUACUCCGGGGAUAACAGGCUGAUACCGCCCAAGAGUUCAUAUCGACGGCGGUGUUUGGCACCUCGAUGUCGGCUCAUCACAUCCUGGGGCUGAAGUAGGUCCCAAGGGUAUGGCUGUUCGCCAUUUAAAGUGGUACGCGAGCUGGGUUUAGAACGUCGUGAGACAGUUCGGUCCCUAUCUGCCGUGGGCGCUGGAGAACUGAGGGGGGCUGCUCCUAGUACGAGAGGACCGGAGUGGACGCAUCACUGGUGUUCGGGUUGUCAUGCCAAUGGCACUGCCCGGUAGCUAAAUGCGGAAGAGAUAAGUGCUGAAAGCAUCUAAGCACGAAACUUGCCCCGAGAUGAGUUCUCCCUGAGACUUUAAGUCUCCUGAAGGAACGUUGAAGACGACGACGUUGAUAGGCCGGGUGUGUAAGCGCAGCGAUGCGUUGAGCUAACCGGUACUAAUGAACCGUGAGGCUUAACCUUACAACGCCGAAG